Non-coding RNA from Lolium perenne, 1272 nucleotides. The record is from RefSeq and is a predicted model, not a curated record. Lineage: Eukaryota; Viridiplantae; Streptophyta; Magnoliopsida; Poales; Poaceae.
GAUUUCCAGUAGUAUUGUAUUUGAGUAAUCUUUGACAUGGCAUAAUUUUUAGUAGCACACAAACCACACGAGAGGCACACAUGCUCUAGCCAUACCUGAUCGGUAAUAAAAUUGUCGCACAAGAUGAGAAACAAGUUUAUUGCUACGUUGUGCUCGACAUUGCAAUAUGGAAAUUCCUACUUUUUGUAAGCACAUUCCCAUUGAUUUAUCUUGAAGCACUGAUCGUAUUAUUUCUAUUUGUCCCAUUCCCAAAUUAUCCAGUUAAUCAGUUCACAUGGAUGCACAAAGCCAAAUUAUAUAAGAUGCACCUAUUGUAUAUAUGUUUUUCUAAUCACCAGAUCCAACCUUGGAAUUUGCUUUGGCCAUCAGGUCUUAUUGAGUUAUUAAGUUAUACGAACUAAACAAUUCUGAAGGUGUGGAUUUAUCUGAAGGUCUUCCUCUGCAGCUUAGUAAGGGGAGAAAUGGAGGUCUACACAGCAGCAAGAUGAAGGUCUCCCUCUAUUGGUACCAUGGGAAGGAAUGAUAUGGCAGAGUCACACGGGGUUAGGUCUUUAUUCAUGGGUUUGUAUGGAUAUUUCACUUAAUUGCAGACUGCAAAUGCACUAUUGCUAUUCUGGUUUUCCACAUAUCCCAACAUCUUAUAUGCAUUAAGUUAUAGAGGGAACGACCUCAUGGUCAAGUAUUAUUUCUCAUGGAUAAUAAAUAGCCAGGGGUCACUCUGCUUUAGUCUUAUGCAAUUUCUCUCUAUGCCCAGGGAGCACAAGGAGUUGGGGAGGAAGGAUUCCAUGACUUCCAUCGGCGUCGGUAGGCAACACUUUUCAUUGGGUAUCCAAAGGUUCUGUUCAUUCUUAUCUCUGUUUUUCAAAUAUGUAUGCCCAUACACAUAUAAUCUUAAGUCCAGUUAUAUCACAAACAUUGAAGGUUCAGCCAAAGCUAUUGGGUCCUAUUUGCUUGUCUAUUUUUGUGUGCAAUUUCACCUUUGUAUUUUUGUGUAGCAUCUGAUGUAGAGAAAGGAAAUACACUCUAGCUAUCCUACCAUUAAAAUCAUAUACUUACAUGGUAGGCGUACCUGGACAAACAUUAGUGCCGUAGAGCAAGAAUAUGUGUUGCCAUACAUAUUUUUGGUUGUUUCCCCUGUUUUUUCGUUUGUAUGAUUCACCGCCUACUAAUCAGAAGUUGUUCUGAUGCUCUUUGAUGUCUUAUAUUCUGAGUUGAUACUUCUGUAUGGUCAGAGGGUUAUUAGGUUUUUUAUGUGCUGGGACAAAGCUAUCA